RNAcentral lists this ribosomal RNA (478 nucleotides) under uncultured bacterium. Its description in RNAcentral is "partial 16S ribosomal RNA". It matches the Rfam family "Bacterial small subunit ribosomal RNA", at positions 28 to 523 of the family's 1533-position model. The record is from RNAcentral.
GACGAACGCUGGCGGCGUGCUUAACACAUGCAAGUCGAACGGUAAGGCCCUUCGGGGUACACGAGCGGCGAACGGGUGAGUAACACGUGGGUGAUCUGCCCUGCACUUCGGGAUAAGCCUGGGAAACUGGGUCUAAUACCGGAUAGGACUCCGGACUGCAUGGUCUGGGGUGGAAAGCUUUUGCGGUGUGGGAUGGGCCCGCGGCCUAUCAGCUUGUUGGUGGGGUGAUGGCCUACCAAGGCGACGACGGGUAGCCGGCCUGAGAGGGUGACCGGCCACACUGGGACUGAGAUACGGCCCAGACUCCUACGGGAGGCAGCAGUGGGGAAUAUUGCACAAUGGGCGCAAGCCUGAUGCAGCGACGCCGCGUGAGGGAUGACGGCCUUCGGGUUGUAAACCUCUUUCAGCAUCGACGAAGCGAAAGUGACGGUAGGUGCAGAAGAAGGACCGGCCAACUACGUGCCAGCAGCCGCAGUAA